RNAcentral lists this long non-coding RNA (828 nucleotides) under Arachis ipaensis. RNAcentral's name for it is "long non-coding RNA (AIPA_LNC001382)". Lineage: Eukaryota; Viridiplantae; Streptophyta; Magnoliopsida; Fabales; Fabaceae. The record is from RNAcentral.
UGAACCCUUUUGAUGCAUCGUCUUGAGUCAAUUACUUCAUGGUUCCCGAGUUUAUUGGGAAGGGAUUACUCUGUGCUCUUUGCAUCAUGUUCUUGCUCACACUUCCUCUUGCUUGCUAUCAUGCCAAUCUGUGAGUACAUACAUGUCUUUACAACCCCAAAAUGAUUAGUGUGCUGCUUUAGUUAUAUUAACUGCCUUAUAUGUUGUUGAUUAUUUUGUUUCCUAAUGUAGAUUUUGCCUUACAAUGUGCUAAUGAGGCAUAAGAUCUGACAUUUGAACCCAGUUUGGGGUAGAGAGUGGGUUAGGCUUGUAGUGACCAAAGGGCAAGUGUGUUUUGGAGCACAUUUAGGAUAGCUAGAAAUUGAUUUCUGUGUGGGUUUGGCUUGUAGUGACCAAAGGGCAAGUUCGGGUUAGUGAUUUUACUUUUAUUAUUAAAAUUUUGCUAAACAUACUAAAAUAGAAAAUAGAUUUUUUUUUUCAUUAAAAAAAAAAAAUGUUUUUCCACCAAAACAAGCACGAACCAACAGAAGCGCUCUUCCUCCCAUAGGGAAUAUGGACUCGCGUACCACUCUAGUUCUGAGAAAAGGAAGAAGAAUGCUACCGCCAACAACACCAACCAGAAAACCUUUGGUAUCGCUUGGGGCUCAAAGUAGCAAGAUGUCAGAGAACACUCUAUUAUUUGUGACAUUAACUAACAUCAUAUUAUCACUUGUGAUUUCUAGCUGUUGUAGUUCACUUGAACAAGAGAAUCUACUUCUUACAUUCAGCUUAAGUACUUUGAUAUUAUAGUUGAAUUGUGGCAUAUGUCAAAAUAUCAAUAUUACCUCA